GAACGCACCUUGCGCUCCUUGGUAUUCCGAGGAGCAUGCCUGUUCGAGUGUCAUUUAAUUCUCAACCAUCCCUCGAUUCGUUUCGAGGUUUGGCUUGGACUUUGGGGGCUGCCGGCGACCCUCGGGUCUUCGGCUCUCCUUAAAAGCAUUAGCGAUGGCGGCGCGAUCUGACCAUGCAUGAACGGCCUUCGACGUGAUAAUGAUCGUCGUGGCUGGAGUGCUAGCGGGCGUCGUGAAGUCAGCGCUUCUAGAUCGUCGUCGAAAGACGAAACUUUGAAACUUGACCUCAAAUCAGGUAGGACCACCCGCUGAACUUA
Molecule: unclassified non-coding RNA, 317 nt
Filed under: Paxillus involutus
Lineage: Eukaryota; Fungi; Basidiomycota; Agaricomycetes; Boletales; Paxillaceae
Description: sequence contains 5.8S rRNA gene
Rfam family: 5.8S ribosomal RNA (bases 1-53)
Source: RNAcentral